UCUGUAGGUGGCCUGCUAAGUCAGACGUGAAAUCCCUCAGCUUAACUGGGGAACUGCGUCUGAGACUGGUGGGCUUGAGGACAGGAGAGGAACGCGGAAUUCCAGGUGUAGCGGUGAAAUGCGUAGAUAUCUGGAGGAACACCGGUGGCGAAGGCGGCGUUCUGGACUGUUUCUGACACUGAGAGACGAAAGCCAGGGAGCAAACG
RNAcentral lists this ribosomal RNA (206 nucleotides) under uncultured bacterium. RNAcentral describes it as "partial 16S ribosomal RNA". It matches the Rfam family "Bacterial small subunit ribosomal RNA", at positions 568 to 774 of the family's 1533-position model. The record is from RNAcentral.